UACGGAUUCGACAGGGGUAGUUUGAGCUUAGGUUGCGAGUCGAGGGGAUCGGCCUCGUUAAAACGUCAAAGCCAUAACUGGCAAAACUAACAACAACCUAGCUUUCGCAGCUUAAUAACUGCAUAGCUGUUCGCCCCUCCAUCGCCUAUGUGGUAGGGUAGCGGACUCACUCUUAGUAGGCUACGCCGGAUUCCACCGCCUGAGGAUGAAGGAAGAGAACAACCAGGCUAGCUGACCGGACGCCGGUCGAUAGGCAGAAGAUUCAGCGAAAUACCAAUAUAUCGACUACACUCGUAGAUGCUUAAGUGGCGAUAUCUUUGGACGCGGGUUCGAUUA
RNAcentral lists this transfer-messenger RNA (336 nucleotides) under Neobacillus sp. OS1-2. It matches the Rfam family "transfer-messenger RNA". Rfam says of the family: Bacterial tmRNA, also known as 10Sa RNA or SsrA, is named for its dual tRNA and mRNA-like properties. Its role is to liberate the mRNA from a stalled ribosome. The record is from RNAcentral. Lineage: Bacteria; Bacillati; Bacillota; Bacilli; Caryophanales; Bacillaceae.